ACGAACGCUGGCGGCGUGCUUAACACAUGCAAGUCGUACGGUAAGGCCCUUUCGGGGGUACACGAGUGGCGAACGGGUGAGUAACACGUGAGUAACCUGCCCACAACUUUGGGAUAACGCUAGGAAACUGGUGCUAAUACUGGAUAUGUGCUCCUGCUGCAUGGUGGGGGUUGGAAAGCUCCGGCGGUUGUGGAUGGACUCGCGGCCUAUCAGCUUGUUGGUGGGGUAGUGGCCUACCAAGGCGGCGACGGGUAGCCGGCCUGAGAGGGUGACCGGCCACAUUGGGACUGAGAUACGGCCCAGACUCCUACGGGAGGCAGCAGUGGGGAAUAUUGCACAAGGGGCGCAAGCCUGAUGCAGCAACGCCGCGUGCGGGAUGACGGCCUUCGGGUUGUAAACCGCUUUCAGCAGGGACGAAGCUUUUUGUGACGGUACCUGCAGAAGAAGCACCGGCUAACUACGUG
Molecule: ribosomal RNA, 464 nt
Filed under: uncultured bacterium
Lineage: Bacteria
Description: partial 16S ribosomal RNA
Rfam family: Bacterial small subunit ribosomal RNA
Source: RNAcentral